RNAcentral lists this ribosomal RNA (530 nucleotides) under uncultured bacterium. Its description in RNAcentral is "bacterial SSU rRNA". It matches the Rfam family "Bacterial small subunit ribosomal RNA", at positions 981 to 1509 of the family's 1533-position model. The record is from RNAcentral.
UUGACAUCCAGCGAACUUUCCGAGAGAUGGGAUUGGUGCCUUCGGGAACGCUGAGACAGGUGCUGCAUGGCUGUCGUCAGCUCGUGUUGUGAAAUGUUGGGUUAAGUCCCGNAACGAGCGCAACCCUUAUCCUUUGUUGCCAGCGAUUCGGUCGGGAACUCAAAGGAGACUGCCGGUGAUAAACCGGAGGAAGGUGGGGAUGACGUCAAGUCAUCAUGGCCCUUACGAGUAGGGCUACACACGUGCUACAAUGGCGCAUACAAAGAGAAGCGACCUCGCGAGAGCAAGCGGACCUCAUAAAGUGCGUCGUAGUCCGGAUCGGAGUCUGCAACUCGACUCCGUGAAGUCGGAAUCGCUAGUAAUCGUGGAUCAGAAUGCCACGGUGAAUACGUUCCCGGGCCUUAUACACACCGCCCGUCACACCAUGGGAGUGGGUUGCAAAAGAAGUAGGUAGCUUAACCUUCGGGAGGGCGCUUACCACUUUGUGAUUCAUGACUGGGGUGAAGUCGUAACAAGGUAGGCGUAGCGAG